Molecule: long non-coding RNA, 213 nt
Filed under: Arabidopsis thaliana (thale cress)
Lineage: Eukaryota; Viridiplantae; Streptophyta; Magnoliopsida; Brassicales; Brassicaceae
Description: ncRNA (AT4G04445)
Source: RNAcentral
UCUUGUAGAACUCUUUUUGCUUUUCUGAAAGUGAGCACAAAAGAACACUCAUUCAAUCUUACUUCAAGCCUAAUCUGAUUAGAAAACACAAACUGUGAAACUAUACACCAUUAAAGGAACUCCAAAUAGUUCUCUUCUGAUGCCUAACACCAAAGGAAACAUAAUCAAUAACCACAUCGAAGCAUUCUUAUUCUUAACAUCAGCCUAAUCUUA